Molecule: ribosomal RNA, 460 nt
Filed under: uncultured bacterium
Lineage: Bacteria
Description: partial 16S ribosomal RNA
Rfam family: Bacterial small subunit ribosomal RNA
Source: RNAcentral
CCUACGGGAGGCAGCAGUGAGGAAUAUUGGUCAAUGGACGAGAGUCUGACCCAGCCAAGUAGCGUGAAGGAUGACUGUCCUAUGGUUUGUAAACUUCUUUUUUAUGGAAGUAAAAUGUUCCGCGUCUGUAUGUUUGUGUGUACCCUAUGCAUACGCAUCGACUAACUCCGUGCCAUCAGCCGCGAUCAUACGGAGGAUGCGAGCGUUGUCCGGAUUUCUUGGGUUUAAAGGGAGCGUAGGUGGAUUGGUAAGUGAGUUGUGAAAGAUCGCGGCUCAACCGGUAAACUGCAGUUGAAACUGGCAGUCUUGAGUGCAGGAGAGGCGUGCGGAAUUCGUGGUGUAGCGGUGAAAUGCAUAGAUAUCAGGAAGAACUCCGAUUGCGAAGGCAGUUCACUGGACUGCAACUGACACUGAGGCACGAAAGCGUGGGUAGCAAACAGGAUUAGAUACCCGAGUAGUC